UACGAAGGGGGCUAGCGUUGCUCGGAAUCACUGGGCGUAAAGGGUGCGUAGGCGGGUCUUUAAGUCAGGGGUGAAAUCCUGGAGCUCAACUCCAGAACUGCCCUUGAUACUGAAGAUCUUGAGUUCGGGAGAGGUGAGUGGAACUGCGAGUGUAGAGGUGAAAUUCGUAGAUAUUCGCAAGAACACCAGUGGCGAAGGCGGCUCACUGGCCCGAUACUGACGCUGAGGCACGAAAGCUAGGGGAGCAAACAGG
RNAcentral lists this ribosomal RNA (253 nucleotides) under uncultured bacterium. RNAcentral describes it as "partial 16S ribosomal RNA". It matches the Rfam family "Bacterial small subunit ribosomal RNA", at positions 524 to 776 of the family's 1533-position model. The record is from RNAcentral.